RNAcentral lists this small nucleolar RNA (122 nucleotides) under Dasypus novemcinctus (nine-banded armadillo). RNAcentral's name for it is "Small nucleolar RNA SNORA31 (ENSDNOG00000044723.1)". It matches the Rfam family "Small nucleolar RNA SNORA31". From Rfam's summary of the family: ACA31 (SNORA31) belongs to the H/ACA class of snoRNAs which are thought to guide the sites of modification of uridines to pseudouridines. ACA31 is predicted to guide the pseudouridylation of U3713 in 28S rRNA and U218 in 18S rRNA. The record is from RNAcentral. Lineage: Eukaryota; Metazoa; Chordata; Mammalia; Cingulata; Dasypodidae.
CUGCAUCUACUGAUAGACCUUGCACAAAUUGUUGUUUUUCUGGUGUGCUAGAAUGCGAAAGGAGAAAUACCCUGCACUUUCUGUCAGUCCUGGAGGCCCAGAUUGAAUAGGGGAAUACAUAU